RNAcentral lists this long non-coding RNA (519 nucleotides) under Olea europaea subsp. europaea. Lineage: Eukaryota; Viridiplantae; Streptophyta; Magnoliopsida; Lamiales; Oleaceae. The record is from RNAcentral.
AAACAAGUAUUUUAAUUAAGAUAUACCCAUAUCUUAAAUUUGAGAAACGCAAACCCCAAUAUAAAUCCAAAAUUCCGAAUUACCAAAAUAUUGGCCACACCAAAGAAUCAGAAAUCCACUACGUUCUAUACGCAUAUCCGCGUCAAAAAGAUUGAUUCUUACCUUGUAGAUAGAGGGGGGAUUCUAAUGAAUAGCAGAAGUAGAAGAAUCAGAAGAAGCAGAAGCAGAAUUGGAGUGAGAGUGAGUGUGUGAGUGCGAUUUGGGUGCGUAGAUCUUGUUGUAGGCAGCUUCACCGACAACGUAAAUACCAAAAGCCACGAGGGCGAUGCCGAGACCGGGGGUGGCGUGGCGCCACUGGUUCAUCAUCAUCGGGUGCUUCCGCCACUCGUCCCGUCUCCUAAAGAACUCGCCUGUGUGUCCCAGCGGUUUCGCCAUUGAUGAUGCUCUCCUGAUUAGCUUGAUGAAAUGCUGUGGAUUUGGAAUGGAAGCUCAAAAUGGUAAUGGUAGAGAUGGGCCCAU